This 492-nucleotide ribosomal RNA is filed under the name uncultured bacterium. RNAcentral's name for it is "partial 16S ribosomal RNA". It matches the Rfam family "Bacterial small subunit ribosomal RNA", at positions 29 to 507 of the family's 1533-position model. The record is from RNAcentral.
AGUGAACGCUGGCGGUAGGCCUAACACAUGCAAGUCGAACGGCAGCACAGUAAGAGCUUGCUCUUACGGGUGGCGAGUGGCGGACGGGUGAGGAAUACAUCGGAAUCUACUUUUUCGUGGGGGAUAACGUAGGGAAACUUACGCUAAUACCGCAUACGACCUACGGGUGAAAGCAGGGGAUCUUCGGACCUUGCGCGAUUGAAUGAGCCGAUGUCGGAUUAGCUAGUUGGCGGGGUAAAGGCCCACCAAGGCGACGAUCCGUAGCUGGUCUGAGAGGAUGAUCAGCCACACUGGAACUGAGACACGGUCCAGACUCCUACGGGAGGCAGCAGUGGGGAAUAUUGGACAAUGGGCGCAAGCCUGAUCCAGUCAUACCGCGUGGGUGAAGAAGGCCUUCGGGUUGUAAAGCCCUUUUGUUGGGAAAGAAAAGCAGCAGGUUAAUACCCCGCUGUUCUGACGGUACCCAAAGAGUAAGCACCGGCUAACUUCGUG